RNAcentral lists this ribosomal RNA (547 nucleotides) under uncultured Glomeromycotina. Its description in RNAcentral is "SSU rRNA". It matches the Rfam family "Eukaryotic small subunit ribosomal RNA", at positions 548 to 1098 of the family's 1831-position model. The record is from RNAcentral. Lineage: Eukaryota; Fungi; Glomeromycota.
UUGGAGGGCAAGUCUGGUGCCAGCAGCCGCGGUAAUUCCAGCUCCAAUAGCGUAUAUUAAAGUUGUUGCAGUUAAAAAGCUCGUAGUUGAAUUUCGGGAUUCUACCGUUGGUCGGACUAACAAGUCUGUACUGGUGUGUAGAAUUUCUACCUUCUGGGGAACUAUCAUGUUAUUAAUUUAGCGUGGUGGGAAACCAGGACCUUUACCUUGAAAAAAUUAGAGUGUUCAAAGCAGGCUUACGUCUGAAUACAUUAGCAUGGAAUAAUAGAAUAGGACGGUGGUCCUGUUUUGUUGGUUUCUGAAUCACCGUAAUGAUUAAUAGGGAUAGUUGGGGGCAUUAGUAUUCAAUUGUCAGAGGUGAAAUUCUUGGAUUUAUUGAAGACUAACUUCUGCGAAAGCAUUUGCCAAGGAUGUUUUCAUUAAUCAAGAACGAAAGUUUGGGGAUCGAAGACGAUCAGAUACCGUCGUAGUCUUAACCAUAAACUAUGCCGACUAGGGAUCGGACGAUGUUAAAUUUUAUUGACUCGUUCGGCGCCUUACGGGAAAC